Molecule: ribosomal RNA, 384 nt
Filed under: uncultured bacterium
Lineage: Bacteria
Description: bacterial SSU rRNA
Rfam family: Bacterial small subunit ribosomal RNA
Source: RNAcentral
AUUGAACGCUGGCGGCAUGCCUUACACAUGCAAGUCGAACGGCAGCACGGGGGCAACCCUGGUGGCGAGUGGCGAACGGGUGAGUAAUACAUCGGAACGUGCCCCGUAGCGGGGGACAACCAGUCGAAAGACUGGCUAAUACCGCAUACGCUCCACGGAGGAAAGCAGGGGAUCGCAAGCCUUGCACUAUGGGAGCGGCCGAUGCCCGAUUAGCUAGUUGGGAGGUAAAGGCUCACCAAGGCAACGAUCGGUAGCUGGUCUGAGAGGACGACCAGCCACACUGGGACUGAGACACGGCCCAGACUCCUACGGGAGGCAGCAGUGGGGAAUUUUGGACAAUGGGCGCAAGCCUGAUCCAGCCAUGCCGCGUGCGGGAAGAAGGCC